CAAGGUUCUCCAGUUCCUGUAGAUCCAAAGUCCCUGUAGAUCCAUCAUCCCAAGGUUCUUCAUUCCCAAAGAUCUCCAAUCCCAAGGUUCUCCAAUCGCAAGGUUCUCCGGUCCUAAAGAUCUCCAAUCCCAAGGAUCUCCAAGCCCAAGGAUCUCCAAUCCCAAGGAUCUCCAUUCCCAAGGUUCUCCAAUCCCAAGGUUCUACAUUCCCAAAGAUCUCCAAUCCCAAGGUUCUCCAAGCCCAAGGUUCUCCAGUCCCAAGGAGACCAAAUCCCAAGGUUCUCCAGUCCCUGUAGAUCCAAAGUCCCUGUAGAUCCAUCAUCCCAAGGUUCUUCAUUCCCAAAGAUCUCCAAUCCCAAAGUUCUUCGUUUCCAAAGAUCUCCAAUCCCAAGGUUCUCCAAUCCCAAGGUUCUCCAUUCCCAAAGAUCUCCAAUCCCAAGGAUCUCCAAUCCCAAGGUUCUCCAAGCCCAAGGUUCUCCAAUCCCAAAGAUCUCCAGUCCCAAGGAGACCAAAUCCCAAGGAUCUCCAGUCCCUGUAGAUCCAAAGUCCCUGUAGAUCCAUCAUCCCAAGGUUCUCCAGUCCCAAAGAUCUCCAAUCCCAAUUUUCUCCAAUCCCAAGGAUCCCAAAUCCCUUUGGAUCCCAAAUCCCAAGGAUCUCCAAUCGCAAGGAUCUCCAAUCCCAAGGAUCUCCAAUCGCAAGGAUCUCCAAUCCCAAGGUUCUCCAAGCCCAAGGAUCUCCAAUCCCAAGGUUCUUCAUUCCCAAAGAUCUCCAGUCCCAAGGUUCUCCAAUCCCAAGGAUCCCAAAUCCCAAGAUCCCAAAUCCCAAUGAUCUCCAAUCCCAAGGUUCUCCAGUCCCAAGGAUCUCCAAUCGCAAGGAUCUCCAAUUCCAAGGAUCUCCAGUCCAAAGGAUCUCCAGUCCCUGUAGAUCCCAAGUUCCUGUGGAACCACCACCCCAAGGUUCUUCAUUCCCAAGGUUCUCCAAUCCCAAAGAUCUCCAAUCCCAAGGAUCUCCAGGCCCAAGGAGACCCAAAUCCCAAGUCCUCUGCAUUGGGAUGAUCCCGAACCCCUGUAGAUCCUAAAUCCCUUUGGUUCCACCACCAGGCCAUCGAGGAGGGCACCCUGGAGGAGAUCGAGGAGAAGGAGGUCCACCAGAAGUCCUCUGGAUUGAGAUGGUCCUAAGUCUCUGUGGAUCCUAAAUCCCCUUGGUUCCACCACCAGGCCAUCGAGGAGAAGGAGGUCCACCAGAAGUCCUCUGGAUUGAGAUGAUCCCAAAUCCCAAACCCUCUGAGAUUGAGAUGGUCCUAAAUCCCCUUGGUUCCACCACCAGGCCAUCGAGGAGGGCACCCUGGAGGAGAUCCAGGAGAAGGAGGUCCACCAGGAGAAGUCCUCUGGAUUGAGA
This 1398-nucleotide long non-coding RNA is filed under the name Zonotrichia albicollis (white-throated sparrow). RNAcentral's name for it is "lncRNA (ENSZALG00000004296.1)". Lineage: Eukaryota; Metazoa; Chordata; Aves; Passeriformes; Passerellidae. The record is from RNAcentral.